RNAcentral lists this long non-coding RNA (8170 nucleotides) under Daucus carota (carrot). RNAcentral describes it as "long non-coding RNA (DCAR_LNC005614)". Lineage: Eukaryota; Viridiplantae; Streptophyta; Magnoliopsida; Apiales; Apiaceae. The record is from RNAcentral.
UAUUUUAAUUAAUUAUUAAUUGAUUUUAAUUGAUUAAUUAAUUAGAUUUAAUGAUUUCUUUUGAUUUAAAAAUUUCGAGAAAUAGUUUCGAGCUUUGGAUUAUUUUUCUAAAAUAUGUUUGAGGCUCGUUAAAUGAUUUCAAAUGAUUUCGGAUCCGAUCUUGAGCAAUCGGAUUUGAUUAUUUAUUCAAAAAUGGAUUCUUUUACCUGUUUUAAUUCCGAAAAAUGUUUAGAAAUUCCAGAAAAUUCGCGAAAAAUCAUUUUUAACUUGAGACUUGAUUGGAUAUCGAUUGGGACGGGAAACCUUAUGUGCAAUGUGUUGUCUGCUGUCUGUGUGAUAUGUUAUGUGCCGAUAGGAGAGUUAGAAAACGGUUUUGAUCAUAUCUUUUGAUCCGUAAUUCAGAAUCAGGUGAAACGAAAGGGAGAUGAAAGCUUAUGGAAUCUAUUUUAAUAUGACAAGAUAAUAUGAUCGAGUCUAGAAUGUGAUUAUAUGUCAUGUAAUAUGCAAUAUGUGUCAAUAUGUGACUUGUCUGCUAUGAAUUGAUGAUUACGUGAUAUACGUGGCUAUUCCUAAUAUUAUACAUAUGUGAUAAAUGACUUAUAUGACAUAGUGUCGUGAAUUGAUUGAUAUUGGAUAAGAAUAUAUGGAUAGUGAUUGAAUUGUGUUGGUUGAUGGUUGAUUGAGAUAGGAUAACAGGUGGAUAGUCUUAUACAUAGACGAGACGAUGUCGGAUUUUCGAUAAAGAUUUAUAUGAUAAUUGAUUUGUGAUAUGUUAUGUGGAAUAUGAUUGACUAUAUGUUAGAGUCAAAGCAUGAUUAUGUGAUAAGUGAUAUCUAAUAGGUUUAAAGGGUUAUAUAAGGGGUAUCGAUAUACGUGAUGUGUAUGUACAAUAGAUUGUUUAGUAAUUAUAGUAUUGUCUUAUUCUCGUUAAGGAUUUGGACGAGACGUAUACGAUCGAAGACAUUCAGAAGGUCAAACGAUGAUGCAAAGCGAAUGAGAAAUGAAUCGAAGAGACGAAGUCGUAUUACGAAUAAAGUAUAGCCAGAGAUGGUCUAGAGACUAUGAUAUGCAUAGGUUGUGAGUUGGAAAGAUGAGAUUAAGCUGUGUGUGGAAGCGGAUUUAAGGCAAGUUUUCCUAAAUCUUUCCUCAUAUAUAUAUUGCAUGUUCUGAUUAUUCUGUCCAGAUUAUGGUAUUGCUUAUACUGAAACCCUUCUCAAAUAAACUCUUAUUUCUGAGAAUGAAACCCAUGAUUGUUUUCUACCUUUAAGUCUUUGAAAAGCCAAACACCUAAAUACUCUCAAUUUCUAUUACAAGUAUUCUGAUCCAUUCUUUCCAAUCCUCAAGAUUUUAAAAAUAUCAGCUUUACAAAUUAAUUCGAAGUUCAGACCGUCAUUGAAGCAUGGGUUGCUCAGUGAUAGUUAGAACCUAGAAUGAAUUGGGAUCUUCUUGAUUAUUCAACCCGCCAUUGUCAUGCUGGUUUAGCAGGCUAAAUUCAGUUGCUUAGCCGAUAAUGGAGGAUACUGAAUAGUUAGGAAUUUCCUGAACUAUGAUUUAUCAAAAGACAGACUGUGGUUUAUGAAAUGUUGAUCCUCAAAAGUUGAUUUGGAAUAUUUCUGUUGUUGAUAAUGAUUAUGAUUCUGUUCUGUUGAUUGAAUUGUCUAUUGAUUUAAAUUGUUAGAAUUGGAUUAGUUUUUAUAAAAUAUGUGGACCAGAUUCGUGGUCAGACCAGAUUCGUGGUCAAUUAUAGGCCAAUGUGUGCCUUGGAUCCAGUAUAGAGAACAGGGCUGUGUGCCAUGUUCGGGGUUAGUGCGUGACUGAUCAGCAGCCUAACCUUUGGUUUUUAAGUAAAAAUGUGAUGAAUCCAAUUCGACAAUUCUUCUGUAAGUUUGAAUUCUGAUUUCAAUUGCUGAUAAGAAUUGUGAAGUUUUCAAUUACAUAUCCUGAACCCUGAUAAGAUAAUUCAGGACUAUUGUUGCUUAUAUACGCUUGCUGAGCAUUGUUGCUCACCCUUGCUAUUCCUUUUUAACCAUUUCAGAAAAGCUUAAAGAUGAAUUGCUUGAUUGAGAUUGCGAGUAUGGCUAAGGCUAAGCGAGGAGUCAGAGUUAUAGAAUAUCCAGAGGACAAGUGGAAUGUCCAGGGAGAUUGUCAAGGUUGGUUCUAGAUAGAAUUGUAUUGAUGAGAUUCAGUUGUAAGUCAUAAUUGAAAUAGAUUGACAGUGAUUCUUCUUAUCGAAGAUGAUCUGAGGUUGUAAGACAUUGUUUAUUGAUAGUGGUUGAUUCUAAUUUCAAUACUGUAACCUGGAUGCGAUCCUGUUUUUAGGGGGUUAAAGUGUUUUCUUUUAAAUCUUUUACUAAAGUUUUCAGGUUUUAAAUCCUUUGAUUUUAUUACCUUUUUCAAAAAUACAGGUUUUCAAAAGUGUUUUAGAAUGAUUUUGUGUGGUGACGUCAGAAUCCAGACCCCCGGAUUCUCGGGCUGUCACAGUUGGUAUCAGAGCAACAGGUUAUAAGUUAUUGAAAUUAGAAUAUAGAUUGUGGUCAUAAGUUUUAUAGAGAAGAAGUUUUCAGUGACCUCAUAUAGAGGUAUUGUGAGACUGUUUGGGGAUAGUCUAGAGAGGUAAUCGGAAUAGAAUCUAGAUAGUUAAUUAAGUUGAGGGUAUAUGUUUAGAUAGAUCAUGGUUCAUAAGUCUAGAAACUUGGUUUCUAGUAUGGGGACUGAUUGAGAUAGUGAUUUGUGAUAAGGGUCAGAGUUAGACCUAGUCAAAAGAGUAUUAAUAGUGAGAUUGAGUUAAGAAUGAUAAAGAUGCAUGGUUUGAAAAUGGUUUAUUGUUUUAACUGAGAUGUGAAAGAAUGGGUGUAGAAUAUGAGAUAUGUUGGAUUGGAAAGAGAGUUUUGUAGACAGGUGAGAAAUGAAUGAUAGAAAGUAUGUGGAAUUGAGUCUAGUUAUCAGAAGUGAUAUUAUGAGUAGGAUAGGACGCUAGUCUUCAACGACGACGCUUCAAGCUAACCGGGAAUUCAUCUGAUUUCAAGAUGAGCCAGCUUCAUUGCGAAUGAUAAUGUCUACAAGGAAAUCUUACGAGGCUAUCACGAGUUAACAUGGAUCGAUUAUCGAGAACGCCGAGAAGAAGACAUACAUUGAACAACGAUUUAUUGGAGCAGAGCAAGAAUUUGAGAAGACCUUGGCAAUAUCUUUUUCCAACAAAAGCUUAUUUUAAUUCUUUUCAUCAUCAUUGAGCCCUUAUACCUUUCCUACAAAAGUUUUAAUAGAUGAGGUUUUCCAGUUCUCGAAUGACGAGAGAACAUUAGUAUUGAUUAUUGAAAUAAGUGGUAUUGAUUCUUGGUGUGUGAUAAAAGUUGUUGUGAGAAGACAAUGAUAUUUCUUGAUAUUCCUUGACAUUCCGUGAUAUUCUUUGAUAUACCUUGAUAUCUCUUGAUAUUCUUUGGUACUUUUUGAGAUUCCUUGAUAUUCCUUCCAUCUGAUUGGGAUGAACAACCCUAUUUAUAGGGGACACAAGGUAUACCUGUCUGUGUGAUAGGAAUUGGAUGGGACGCCAUCACUUGUGUGUGUUGUGAUUACAAGAAGGUUAACAACCUUUAGUAGUGUCUAAUAUGGGCACGCAACACUAAGUUCGUUUGGUCAUAUUGAUCUCUCAGUCACUUUCUUAUUUAAACAUGACCUAUUCUGAAAACCUUUUGCUCCAUUCUAAGUUCUUAAAGAUUGAAUCUAAGAACUGAGCUCUGAAAUAGUGAAAGUUUUAAUACUCUUAUUUGUUUCAAAGUCAAAGGUAUGCCAAGGUCGAACGAAGGUGGAAGGAUGAUAGUACGAAGGGUGUACAUUUUCGUUCUCUUCGCGGAUUCUGAGGACAGAAUCCUUAUAAGGAGGGUAGAUUGUAACAUCCCAGAUUUUCAGAAUUAGUUUAUUAAUAUAGAAAUAAUUUUUGAAUAUUACUAUUGGCUUUAAUUGAUUUCUUCUGAUAAGAUGAACGGUCUGUGUAAUAUGAGUAUAAUUGUGAUGUGAAUUAUAAGGUUUAAACCGACUAUGCAUUCUUCUCCUGUGAUUUCGUAUAUUUUUACGACCCGGAUUUUUCAAAAAUUGUGUAUCGUUAUGAAAGUUAUUUUCUUAGAAAGAAGGAAUAAAGUUUAAUAUUUUAUUCCAGUUUAAGGUAUUUUCAAAAUUUUAUUUUAUAUAAUUGAUUUUAAAGAUUUAAAGGAUGGCUAUCGUUACAUGGCUAAGUGUUGCAUGUGGAAUUGUGAGUUUAAUUAGUUAUGAUAAUUAAAUGUGAAUAUUGCAUGAAUUUGGUGUGAAUUGAUUUUCUGUAAUUGGUAAUUAUACGUGCCAGAACUGUGGGUUCAAUUAUUGAUAUUAUCAGAAUGAGUCAUAUGUUAUUUAAAUAUUUUCAAAUGAUUUAUAUACGGAUAUAUGAAUAUCCUUUCAAAACUCAUUUCAAAUAUUAUUUCUGAAAAUACAGAGAUUUGUUAUGCAAAAGUUAGAUGGUCGAUAUGUGAAGAUAUGUAUUACAUGAUUAAGUGUUACGUGUGUAAUGGUCGCGUAAUUAGUUAUGGUUAUUUUUGAAUAUUAUAUGAAUAUUUGGUAAAUUCUUUGAUAACUAGUUUUUUUAUUUUGAUUGCUUAUAUAUGUUGCAAUCACGAGUUUUCAAUUUUCAUAUUCUCAGAAUAGAAUAUGGAACAUUUGGGUAUUUCCCUAAUAAUUUAUGAGUAGUAUGUGAUAUUUAUAUGAAUAUUUGUGAGGUUUGUGUUAUCUGAGUUAUUGAAUUGACUGCUCAUAUGUGUUCGGAUUUGAGAUAUUUCAAUUUCUAUAUGAUCAGAAUAAAAUCUAGUUUAUUUAGAUAUGUUCAUAUCGAUUUUUGGAUUGCUAUGUGAUUUUAUAAUCGAUUUAUGGAUUUAAUUUCGUUUAAUUAUUAAUUAUAUUAAAAUAUUUAUUUAAUAUUUUAAACCCCGCGGGCGUUCGGGGAAAAAUUCGCCAUUAGGCUAUUUGGGACAUUCUGAGCAUUUCUCGUGUUUUAACUUUUUCAAUCCGGAGUACGGUUUACCCCGUAAAUGGUCCGGUACAAUUUUGUUAAUAUUUUUAAGGUUAAUGAUUAUCUGGUUGUAUAAAAAUACGUGAAGCAUAUUCCAGAGAAUAUUCCAAAGCAUAUUCAAGGAAUAUUCCAAAGCAUAUUCGAGGAAUAUUCUCUUAUCUUCUUCUAUAAAUAUCCUUUACCAGUUUAUUUCGCACGUACAAUCAUUUCGCCAGUUCUCUGCACGAAUACCGAGAGAAAACGAACGGGUGUUCUUCGUGUUCUUCAUAAUCAAACAAGGAUUUGAAGGCGUUAUUGGAAUCCGAUGGAGGCGUAUAAAUAGUCAAAACGAAGCUCUCGACGCGUAGAAUCUAUUGUAGUUAUCCAUACCAGUGCUGAAUCGACAGGUUUUUACUAAGUAAGCUUUUUAAUUUCGAAUUUAAAUGAUUUUAAAUAUGAAUUUUUGCAAACGUGCUUGUUUGAUUGAUUUGAUGCUUCCAUGUUGUAGAGCGUCUCCUGCCAUUCGUUUUCAUAUAUUAUAUGCCGAUUUUUGACUUCCGUAACAUAUAGAAAAGUUAGUUUGAUUCUUGAAGUUGUGUUCUUGGAGGUUAUGAAUGUUCUUAAUUGGAAAAGAGGCGUUUUUAAUCUGGGGAUUCUGCGUUGUAUUGGUUUAUACCAUUAGGAAGAGCGUGUCAAGAGGAAUAUGUUCAUAUAAUCGGAUUUUGUGGAGGAUUCACGGUUGAGCUUAUUGGAGUUUAAGAACACCGGCGGUGUUCUUGGACUUUCCGGCCAAAAUCCGGCCAAACUACAUGCUAUUUACUGAUUCUGAUUAUGGGUAUGGGUUCCUGGUAGUAUGAACUUUAAAUCUGGAGUUUAUGGGGUGUGUAGGACGUCGGAAAAUCGAUUUCCGGCGAGGUAGUAUGGUGGCCGACGGAUAAUUUCCGUUUGGUCACCAACGUUAUGAAGAUGAUGAAGGUUUGACACUGGAGUUUGAUUGUUGACAUUCUAGCUCUCGAACUUUUGAAAGUUUACACCUGGCACCCUGCCAGACAAUUUCAGUAUUUUUACAAUUUAAACCUUUUCAAAUUUAUUUCAAAAAUUCAUUUUAGUGAUUUAUUUUAAUUUCAAAAAUAGUUUCUAAUUACUUCUUUAUUCAAAAAUAAAUCUGAAAUUAGUUUAUUAAUUAAAUUUAAUUAGUAAUUAAUUAUUUUAAUUGGUCAAUUAAUUUUAAUAUUAAUUGAUGGAUUAUUUUAAUUAAUUAUUAAUUGAUUUUAAUUGAUUAAUUAAUUAGAUUUAAUGAUUUCUUUUGAUUUAAAAAUUUCGAGAAAUAGUUUCGAGCUUUGGAUUAUUUUUCUAAAAUAUGUUUGAGGCUCGUUAAAUGAUUUCAAAUGAUUUCGGAUCCGAUCUUGAGCAAUCGGAUUUGAUUAUUUAUUCAAAAAUGGAUUCUUUUACCUGUUUUAAUUCCGAAAAAUGUUUAGAAAUUCCAGAAAAUUCGCGAAAAAUCAUUUUUAACUUGAGACUUGAUUGGAUAUCGAUUGGGACGGGAAACCUUAUGUGCAAUGUGUUGUCUGCUGUCUGUGUGAUAUGUUAUGUGCCGAUAGGAGAGUUAGAAAACGGUUUUGAUCAUAUCUUUUGAUCCGUAAUUCAGAAUCAGGUGAAACGAAAGGGAGAUGAAAGCUUAUGGAAUCUAUUUUAAUAUGACAAGAUAAUAUGAUCGAGUCUAGAAUGUGAUUAUAUGUCAUGUAAUAUGCAAUAUGUGUCAAUAUGUGACUUGUCUGCUAUGAAUUGAUGAUUACGUGAUAUACGUGGCUAUUCCUAAUAUUAUACAUAUGUGAUAAAUGACUUAUAUGACAUAGUGUCAUGAAUUGAUUGAUAUUGGAUAAGAAUAUAUGGAUAGUGAUUGAAUUGUGUUGGUUGAUGGUUGAUUGAGAUAGGAUAACAGGUGGAUAGUCUUAUACAUAGACGAGACGAUGUCGGAUUUUCGAUAAAGAUUUAUAUGAUAAUUGAUUUGUGAUAUGUUAUGUGGAAUAUGAUUGACUAUAUGUUAGAGUCAAAGCAUGAUUAUGUGAUAAGUGAUAUCUAAUAGGUUUAAAGGGUUAUAUAAGGGGGUAUCGAUAUACGUGAUGUGUAUGUACAAUAGAUUGUUUAGUGAUUAUAGUAUUGUCUUAUUCUCGUUAAGGAUUUGGACGAGACGUAUACGAUCGAAGACAUUCAGAAGGUCAAACGAUGAUGCAAAGCGAAUGAGAAAUGAAUCGAAGAGACGAAGUCGUAUUACGAAUAAAGUAUAGCCAGAGAUGGUCUAGAGACUAUGAUAUGCAUAGGUUGUGAGUUGGAAAGAUGAGAUUAAGCUGUGUGUGGAAGCGGAUUUAAGGCAAGUUUUCCUAAAUCUUUCCUCAUAUAUAUAUUGCAUGUUCUGAUUAUUCUGUCCAGAUUAUGGUAUUGCUUAUACUGAAACCCUUCUCAAAUAAACUUUUAUUUCUGAGAAUGAAACCCAUGAUUGUUUUCUACCUUUAAGUCUUUGAAAAGCCAAACACCCAAAUACUCUCAAUUUCUAUUACAAGUAUUCUGAUCCAUUCUUUCCAAUCCUCGAGAUUUUAAAAAUAUCAGCUUUACAAAUUAAUUCGAAGUUCAGACCGUCAUUGAAGCAUGGGUUGCUCAGUGAUAGUUAGAACCUAGAAUGAGUUGGGAUCUUCUUGAUUAUUCAACCCGCCAUUGUCAUGCUGGUUUAGCAGGCUAAAUUCAGUUGCUUAGCCGAUAAUGGAGGAUACUGAAUAGUUAGGAAUUUCCUGAACUAUGAUUUAUCAAAAGACAGACUGUGGUUUAUGAAAUGUUGAUCCUCAAAAGUUGAUUUGGAAUAUUUCUGUUGUUGAUAAUGAUUAUGAUUCUGUUCUGUUGAUUGAAUUGUCUAUUGAUUUAAAUUGUUAGAAUUGGAUUAGUUUUUAUAAAAUAUGUGGACCAGAUUCGUGGUCAGACCAGAUUCGUGGUCAAUUAUAGGCCAAUGUGUGCCUUGGAUCCAGUAUAGAGAACAGGGCUGUGUGCCAUGUUCGGGGUUAGUGCGUGACUGAUCAGCAGCCUAACCUUUGGUUUUUAAGUAAAAAUGUGAUGAAUCCAAUUCGACAAUUCUUCUGUAAGUUUGAAUUCUGAUUUCAAUUGCUG